RNAcentral lists this unclassified non-coding RNA (402 nucleotides) under Hevea brasiliensis (rubber tree). Lineage: Eukaryota; Viridiplantae; Streptophyta; Magnoliopsida; Malpighiales; Euphorbiaceae. The record is from RNAcentral.
AGGAUCUGGAGAUGAUAUUUCUUCUCAUCUGACACUGCCCAAAUGACUUCUUCUUCAGGCAGUGAACCCUCAGUACUGUUGGUAUUUUAAUUUUCGCAUUAUCUGAAGUUCAUCAGUUCAAUUCUAGGGAAAAUGUUGGGUGGCAACAAUGGCAAUGGUUUGCUUCCCGUUUUCCUGGAUGAAAAUCGAAAUCAGUAUCAAACUAAUGCUUCUGAUCAGCUGCAGUUAUUUGGGAAUUUGCCUGUUAGCUGUGGAAUUGAGCCUGUAAAUUAUUUUGGAAACGAGCAAAUGGUUCAUAUGCUUCGCCCUAACAAAAGAAGUAGGGAAAUAGAAGAUUUCUCAAGGCAGCAGAAGCUUCAGAUUUCCCUAAAUUAUGCCUGUCAAGAUGAUGCUGAUCGUUCG